UGUUGAGAGAUGCAAUUACUCGAAAGCUUGACAUCAAAAAAAUCAUGUUAUCUUCUUCAAACACAUUAUGUAUUGCAGAUUUUGGAUGUUCAAUUGGACCAAACACUUUCAUUGCAAUGCAACAUGUUGUACAAUCUCUAAAAUAAAAAUACCAUAAUACCAACAUUCUUGAAUUCCAAGUAUUUUUCAAUGAUCAUGUCACCAAUGAUUUCAACGCCCUCUUUCGAUCACUACCCCUCGAUCAAUCCUACUAUGCAUUCGGAGUUCCAGGAUCAUUCCAUGGUAGAUUAUUUCCAUCGCGAUAGAUUCAUUGUGCUUUCAUUAUCUUCUCUAGAAUAACAUAGUGUCUUUGACAGAAAAAUAGAUGGGCAAGAGAAGUGCCUUAUUACAAUUAAGAAUGUAACUAAAGAUUUUAUAAAUAUUUGAUUUUAAAAAUGAGGAAAGAUUUUAAAUAUAAAAAAAAAAUCUUAUCACAAACAUGGUUCAAAUUAAUACGUCUCACUUAGCCUAUGACAACAAGGAAAAUAGGUAAUGCAUGCCAAACAUAAAAUGAUAUCCAUCAACCACUUGUAAUUUUUAGUGGUAAAAUAUAUAUGUGCUUACACAAAAAUAUAUAUUUAUGUUUACAUUAUUAUAUUAAAGUGUGAAGGAUCUUUGAAAAGUAAUUUAAACUUUUUACACUUGAUUAAAAAUCUUGUAAUAGACAAAAUUAUUUAAUUAAUCAAAUGUUGCACGUGCGAUUGCGACAGUACUUGGCCUUGGAUCAGGGCUGUCACUCGCUCAAGACGUUGAUGCGCCACCGGGUGGACCCUUUUCUUAUCAGCAUGGGGAGUUGCGAUGGAUACCAAGAUGAAGACUCCUCAGCGCCAAUUAGUAUAGACACCUAAUUUUGUCCCUCCCAACGUUGAUUUUAUCCAUUUUUAGCUCACCUUACCACGUGUCCUCAUCCAUGUGAUCAUACCCCAUAAAAAUACAAAAAUAACAAAGUCCCUAACAAAAUUUUAUCUUGUUUUAACUAUCCUAACCACUUCUCCAAUUAAAAGCGGACACUUCACCAUCCCACACCCCUAUACCCGUGUUACCCCACCUCACCCCUAGGCAGCCCCCCUCCCUUCACGUUUUUGUUUCCUUUUGGACCAUAGACACCUCACAAUUUUGGGGGAGCCCCACAGAAAACCAAUUCACACAAUUCUUCACAUCACAACAACUAUAUACUCACAGAAGACCCUAUCAAUUCAUUGGGAUCACCAAGGCUUCUUCACAGAGAAUCAUGCACAAAAAGGCAGAGUUGACAUAGGCAUAAGCCUCCAUUUUUGUUCUUCUCUUCUACACCGUCACACACCAUACACCACACACAGAAUCAACCACGGAAACGGAGGCAUACACCAUUUUUUUUCUCUUCUUCAUUCACAAACACACCACACACAGUAACACCAAUGUAAGGGAGAAAUCGAGAGAGGAGGGAGAUAAAGAACGAAAGAUUCGAGCAAGAGUGAGAUCGUGAGAUCAGAGAGAGAGGGAGAAAGGCGACGGCAAGCUAAAAUCGAUCGGAGAGAGGUCGAAGGUUUGAUCGAAAAACGUAACUGACCGAAAAACCAUCUCCCCAGUCCUUUCCUUCACUGUUCUGGCCGAAAUUAUUGGAAUCCGUUGGGUAAUAUGACCAAAAUCGGCGACUAGUAGCGCCAGUUCACCCCUCCGUUGGAGUUUUCCAUUGUUCGUUUGAUUUAUUGAUUGAGGUUUACGAUUUUGAGGUUCCACUUGAUUUUCAAAUCUGUUUCGGGAUCAAAAUUCAACGCCAAAUGGGGUUUUAUUCAAGGUCGGUUUAAGUCGAGGUUUCGAAUCCAUGAGGGUCCACUAUUUGGUUGAAUAAAAGCGACAUUAAGGUUCAUUCUUCAUCUUAUUCUCAAUUAAUUUUUAAUCGUGUAAUACUUGAUGUGAUAAAUUCAUGGUGAGUGGGCUUUAUUUUGUUUUUUUUGUUGAUUUUGAUAUAUUUUGGAUCAUAGUAGUUUGGUUGUUGACGUCGAAUGAAUUGGAAUAAUCAAAGAACUUGGACUCAAUUUGGGGUUAAAUCGUAAUUUGGGGAGAUAUCGAGAGUUGGCUAAUUCGCAAUUUCACUUAGUUUAUUUAAUUUGUUAUUUUGAUUAAUUUUGAUGUUGUUAAACUUGAUAGUAUCAUUACGUUGAUUGGUUUAGGCAAACAUAGGUUGGGUAGGCAAAUGUUUAGAAUUGGCGGCUUUGGUUGAAUGUUGAAAAUUCCAUGGAAUGUUUGAAAUUUUGUUGAAUAGUUGAUUUUCUCUCACUAAAAAUGUAUUCAUUUGGCCAGGGAAUGCCUCGAAGGAUCUGUAUUGAUUUAUCCGGGGGAUGCCCCGAAGUACCUUGUACUUGGAAGAUGUUCUUAGUGAAGGCUCGAGGCGUCGGAUGAAGCAGUGGAGCGUAGUAUAGGAUUAAUCUAGAGUAGAAUAGAUUUAUAUUUUUGCAUUAUUUAUUCCUGGACUGUAUAAUUUGGACUGGACAUUAUUUUGGUUUUGAAUUAUGUUUGAUUUGUUUGUUUGCUUGUUUUGCAUGUUUGUGUGGUUUAUACAUCCGUAAUGUUAAAUUAACCGAUACACUUCACCAAGCGACCGUGGUUGAAUCACGGGAUCGAGGGGUGCCUAACACCUUCCCUUUGGUCAAUAGAAUUCCUUAACCAGAAUCUCUGUUCGCGGAUCAGUUUUAGAGUCAACCCGUUUUUGAAAAAGGAUUUCCAAAGGUGACUUGGCACACCCGAUUUAUGCCAAGUGGCGACUCUGUGUUUAAAUGUAAAAAGUUCUUUUUCGAAACAAAUUUUCAAUUUUCAAUCAUUUUGUUACUUUCAUAAUAAAACCCUUUCGAACUUAAAAUCUAAUUCUUUUUUUGAGUUAAAAAAAAAGAGGUGUGACAGCUCUGGCGACUCUGCUGGAGAACUUUCAGAAUUCGAGCUUAUUUGUGGAGUCGUAUCGGCUUUGUUAGGCAUUACGAGUGUAUAAACAUUGUUUGUGAUUAUUGUUUGUGUUAUUGUUAUCACUGUUGUGUGUUUUCGUGCUCUUUGUUUACAGUUUUUUGUUAUGUGUUACCGCUUUAUAUCUGACAUCAUGUGCAUAACUUGAGUCAUUCUUUCUGCAACAAGUCCAUAGUACACGUGUGUACACGACCUAUAGUUGAGUCUCCCUCAUUUUAGGGGGGAGCCAUUGGGUUGUACAGAGUAGGUGGCUAGCUAAUGCAAGCCACUAUCGACCAUACGCUCCCUUGAACAACCUUGUUAGUGAACCCCAACGUAAGUCAGCCUUUAGGUCAUGCUUAUUUACAUCAUAUUGAGACCUAGCGGGACCCGCAUGGCCCUUUGUAGGAGACUCACCUCUAAAGCAUUCCUACGUGCUAAAUGUUGUAUCUUUGAGGGUAACGUCGUCAUUUGACAGAUUGAUUUGGAUAAAAGCAUGUGUUAGAAGCAAAGUGUGUAGGCAAAAUUUGUUGGAAAAAAAAAGGAAAAGGUGAAUCGAAAAAAUAAGUGUUUCGUAGUGUUUUUAGAGUUUUUAAUGGCUUUUGUUCUUCACAAUCCAAAAAUUCAAAAAAAAAAAAUUACCUUUUGCACUCAUUUCUCAAAAACAAAAACAUCAAAAAGAUUUUUCUUGUCUCGUUUAGCAUGCAUUCACAAUUCAAAAACUUCAAAAAGAUUUUUCAUUCAAAAAAGAUUUGUUCUUUCAUAGUUGUUGGUGUCAUUUUUAUGUGAAGUGUCAAAUUGAAAACUCAAAAAGAUUUUAUAGACGUUUUGCAUCUUCUGUUUGUGCUCGUGUCUCUUAAGUCAGGGAGUUGGUUAUUUAAUCCUUAAUUGUUCAAUCUGGACGAACUACGCACUCCUGAUUCUCCUUUCUCGGGAGUGAGAAACGUAGGUAGCCUAUUGUGGGUUUGGGGAUCUUAUUUCAAAAAUUCAAAAAAUAUUUUAUUCACUCUUCGUUUAGAGUAGGUGUUUCAUAUACAUCUUCAAGAGAAAACUACAAAAAGAUUUUCCUUUAAUAGUUUCAAGUUUUAUUUACGUAUGAAUGCAAAAUUGAAAAUCUAAAAGAUUUUUCUUUGGUAAUCAUAGGUUUCAUUUUGUAUAGGGAUUUAAACCUAAAAAUACAAAAAAAUUUACGUCAAUUCUUUUGACACUUUGUUUCAAGAAAAAUAAAAGAGUUUGAUUGACCGUUUUGGCAAGACUUCACGAACUACUCACACCUAAUUUUCCUCUCUUGGGAGUGAGAUACGUUGGCGCCUUUCUUGGGUUCGGUGAUCUUUUUAAAAUAAAAAGAGAAGGGAAAAGAGGUUUUGAAAAAGUGUUAAACUCUAACACAUUUGUUAUUUUUUUGUUGAGUCAGUUUAAGGUGGUUGGUUUGUGGCAUUCUGGUUGGUCCUCCACAUUAUACCAAAUCCAAAGGGUUAGUUGUGUCCAAUAAGGAUAUAGAGAGUGACAUAAUGGAUGAAACAAAGAGCCAGCAAAUUGAGAGUUUAAAGGAAGAGAAUUUGAGACUGAGAUAAUAAAUGACAGAAAUGCACCGAUCUUGGGACUGUGGGUUGCCUCCUCCUCCUCCAUUUCCCUCUAUUGAUCCUUCAAAUACCUUGAGUUUUCCACCAAAAUUACAAAGUCAGUGUCCUAUUGUUGUUGAUGCACCGCAACAUGACUCAAAAUUCAUUCCAAGCCCAAAGCAUCUCAAUACUUCCACCACUUUUCCUCUAGCUCCUCAGUAUAAGUCUGCUACAUUCACAACACCAUAUGUCGUUCGUGAUCUUGUUGCUCAAUCCUCUAUUGAGGCUUCUACAUUAGCUAGCCGCCCAACGAUUGUGCGUCCCCAUGCUGCUAGUAAACCUAUAUUCAAUACUCUUGGUGAUUAUUGUUAUACUCAUGAACCUGCUUUUAAGUUAACUAGACCACCAAAGUUUCUUAACAAGAAGUCCAGUUUGCCAGAAGAGUCAGAGAAAUGGUUGAAAAAAUAAAGAGUGCAGAAAAUAUUAUGAAAAAUUCUCUAGGACCUGCGGGUAAAGAAGAUGUUUCAUACAAAGACUGGGGCAUGCCUUCAAGUGCUAACCUUCCUUCAAUCUUUGCGAUGUCGAAAUUUGAGGAGCAAGAUGGGCAUGGGGAAUCCAUAAAACAUUUGGGGACAAUAUUGCAAUCAAUUAAGGGAACCUGGAAGGAAGAAGAAUGAGAAAGAUGACACUACUAUUGUAGUUAGAGAACGGGCACAUCCAAGAAGACGUCGUCGUCGUUGUCGUCAGUCUCAAGCCCAAGUUCAUACCCAAGCUCUCCAUAAUCACUCCCAAAAUCCAUUAUACUCUGUUUCCCCACCUCCAUAUGUAAUAUAUUGUGCACAACCAUAUGUUCAACUCCCUCCUUACCCACAAUGGCGCGCAUCAACUCCUUAAAGUCAUUCUUCAAUUCUACAAACAUACCAAAGCCCUUCUAGGUUUGAUGUUCGAUCCAAGUUAAACAAUGAAAUGAGGCAGAAAUUGAGGGAUAGUUUCACACCAAUUGGAGAGUCGUAUGCCAGUUUAUUUCAGAGAUUAGCACAGCGAGGUAUGAUUACUCCUCUCCUUGGGUAUACUUCUGAUCCGCAUUCAAGAAGUUUUGAUCCUAAUGUACGAUGUGCAUAUCAUUUUGAUAUUCAAGGUCACAGUAUUAAAGAUUGUUGUUCUUUGAAAAGAGAAAUUGAAAAUAUGAUUCACAGUAUUGAAGAUUGUCGUGCUUUAAAAAGAGAAAUUGAAAAUAUGAUUCAAGACAAAUUGAUUAUGGUGCAAAACAUUGACGAAAAGCUCUCAUCAUGCUGAUAUGCAAACUAGUGGCUAAGAUGUCAGGCUGAGCAAUUGAGAAGUCAGCCCUCUCCCUACUAGAAAGAGGUCUGGUAGCUUGUUUUGUUUUAUUUUUUGUUGUACAAAUUAUUUCAGGGUUGUAGUUCGGGAUCUAUCUUGUUUUGUCCUUUUGUCGUUUAUGUUCAAACCCUUCUAUCUUUUGUUUCAACUAAAUGAAGAGUCCCAUUUUUCUGUGUUUUAAAUAUGUGUUGUUUGUUUGUUUUCUUUACAUAGUACAUUUUAUGUAGACUCUACGUAUAUGACAUGCUAGCAGAAUUUUCAGUCAGAUCUUAAAAUAAAAUUUAAGCAUGAACAUUGAAUCAGAAGGUUAAAGUUAGAAAAGGAAAAACAUCUGAGAAAAUUAAUAGAGUGUUGACACAUUUGGUGACCAUGUUGAAGUCUUCUUUGAAAAUUAAGGCAAUCAUUUUGAGAAUCACAAGAAUAACUUAGUCAUCAAUUGAAAAACAUAGCUCAAUUAGGUCAAAUAGCGGAUGUGUGCUCCCGAGGAUUAGAAUAAAAGUCAACUCUACGAAAGCAUGAGUCAUUCAAUGUAAGGGAUGUACAACACAAGUGGAGUUGUAUGUUCGACAAGUGUAGAAAAAGAGGUGGCACAUAUGCUCAGGGCAAGUUAGUAUUGUAAAAUAUGUCAUAAGUGAUAUUGAUCUUGUACUUUCACAUUGCAUGCUCUGUACUAGAAUCUUCAAGGAUUGAUAUGACGAAGGCAUUUCAUUCUGCUAUCCAAAUGUUGUGUCAUCCUUUGUUUACCCCCAUUUGAGCCUUAGUGUUAUUUUCUUUCAUACCCCUCUUUUGGAAUCAAGAUAGAGUCAGCAAAGCUCAAAAGAAAAGUGUCGAGCAAAACAAUAGAGUCAGAAAAAUUUCAAAAAAAAAGAAGAAAAAGAAGAAGAAAAUAUGUCCAAAAAGAAAGUAAAGAGAAGAGUUUUAAGAAAAAUAGAGUCAGAAAGUUUCAAAGAGAAAAAUAGUCAAUAAAAGAAACAUAGAAAAAAAAGAAAUUAGAAUCAAGCAAAAUAAGUUGCUAGAACUACACGUGACCUGAUUCUCCUCUCUUGGGGGUGAGAUAUAUAGGCUGGCCUACUCUGGGCUCGGUCUAACCAAAUAAACAAUUUAGAAUUACCGAGUCAAAAGAAACUGGGGCAUGAGUUAAUCCUCAUUUUUUGAGUCGAUUCCAAAAGUUGUAAGUUCUACCCCACUUCAAGUGUCGUUUGGGCCCCAUGGCAUUCUUUCUUUCCAACCUUAUCCAAAAGCCAAGUUACAAUCAAAGAAUGACCUUCAGAUCAAUAUUUGAAAAUGCUACGGCUAAGCAAGCAAUGGAUGUGAUGACGCAUUUUGGGAACUACUUGUCUUCCUCAGCACAAGAAAUCAGGAGAGAAAUAAAAAUGAGAGUCUUAUCAAAGAAAAUCCUCACGGGCACCAUAAGAUGAUAGUAAGCUGAGAGAGAUAAAAUGAGAGAGUCUUAUCGGUGAAAAUCCUCACGGGAAUUGUAAGACAACGGUGAGUUGAGACAAAUAAAAAUAAGAGAUUCUUAUUGGUGAAAAUCCUCAUGGACACCAUAAGACAACUGUGAGUUGAGAGAAAUCAAAAUUAGAGAAUCUCAUUGGUGAAAAAACCUCACGGAUACCAUAAGGCGAUGGUGUGCCAAGAGAAAAAUGAGAGAGGCUGGUUAGCAAAAACCCUUCAAGGUGUCACUAGCCGAAUAAGGUCUUAAAUGCAAUUGACCUAAGAAAGUAACUCAAUUUUAAAGCCCUUAACUCAACAACAAUUGGUGAAAGUUCGAAUGGAAAGAUCAGACAGCUUAAUCCAAAAUGCAUGACAUAAUCAUUAGGGCUGACCGUCAUUUCUAGAUAAAAUUUUCAUUUCUUUGUUUCAAAUGGGGACAUUCAUUGUCUUUUCUUUCUUCUCUUUAUUUUUAUUUUGUUUUCUUGAGUCAGUUGUCCAAAGAAAAAUCAUUGUCAUUUUUUUUUCUGUUAUCUUUGAGUCAAGUCCAUGUCAAAACAAGUGAAAAGAUUUCAAAAUUGACUACCAACUUCUUUAAUUGCACAAAGCACGACAGAAAGGCCAGUGCAUUAAAGAGACAUGAUUGUAAACCGAAAAAAGGGCAUGCAAAAAGCUUAGUCAACAGGCAAAUCUACGAACUCAUGAAAAUACCAAAGUUUAAAGGGUUUAUUUGAGAAACAUGAAAAAGCUGAGAUACAGUGUUAUUUUAGAGUCACUCUUAAUAAUCUGAAUUUGGGUCAAUGACACGACAAAGCAGGGGCAAGUGCUGCAAACCACCACUAAGCUUUUAACUGACAAAUUUUCUUUGUUGAAAUAGGGGCAAAUUCGCUUCACUUAAUUCAGCUACCAUUGGAAAUGCACAUCCAGGGAAUUUACUUUCUGUUCAGGACCUCCUGAAAAAUGAGACUUUAUUUUCUGUUCAGGACCCUCCUAAAAAAUGGGACUUUACUGUCUGUUCAGGACCCUCCAGAAAAAUGAGAUUUUACUCUCUGUUCAGGACCAUCCUGAAAAAUUGAACUUUACUUUCUGUUAAGGACCCUACUGAAAAAUGGGAAUUUACUUUCCAUCCAGGACCCUCCUAAAAAAUGGGAUUUUACUUUUUGUCCAGGACCCUCUUGGGAAAUGGGAUUUUACUUUCUGUUCAGGACCCUCCUGAAAAAUAGGAUUUUACUUUCUAUUCAGGACCCUCCUAGAAAAUGGAAAUUUACUUUCUGUUCAGGACCCUCCUGAAAAAUAGGAUUUUACUUUCUAUUCAGGACCCUCCUAGAAAAUGGGAUUUUAGUUUCUGUUCAAGACCCUCCUGAAAAAUGAGAUUUUACUUUCUGUUCAGGACUUUCUUGAAAAAUGAGACUUUACUUUCUGUUCAGGACCCUCCUGAAAAAUGGGACUUUACUUUCUGUUCAGGGCCUUCCUGGAAAAUGAGAAUUUUACUUUAUGUUCAGGACCCUCCUGAAAAAUGGGACUUUACUUUCUAUUCAGGACCCUCCUGAAAAAAGAGACUUUACUUUAUGUUCAGGACCCUCUUGAAAAAAUGGGACUUUACUUUCUAUUCAGGACCCUCCUGAAAAAAGAGACUUUACUUUAUGUUCAGGACCCUCUUGAAAAAUGGGACUCUACUUUCUGUUUAGGACCCUCCGUAAAAAUGAGAUUUACUUGCUGUUCAAGACCCUCCUUAAAAAAUGGGACUUUACUUUCUGUUGAGGACCCUCCUGAAAAAUGGGAUUUUCCUUUCUGUUCAGGACCCUCCUGAAAAAUGGGAUUUUCCUUUCUGUUCAGGACCCUCCUGAAAAAUGGGAUUUUCCUUUCUGUUCAGGACCCUCCUGAAAAAUGGGAUUUUCCUUUCUGUUCAGGACCCUCCUGAAAAAUGGGAUUUUACUUUCUAUCCAGGACCCUCCUGAAGAAUGGGACUUUACUUUCAAAAAAUGAAAAUUUUCUUUAUCUUAAUCUUUGUUUGGGAUAAUUUUCGUUCUAGUUUUUAUUCUGGUUUCAGGAACCCGCCUGAAGAACAAGGUGAUGAAAUCGGAAGAUGAUUAAAAAUUACAAAUCAGAAGCCCGCCUGAAGAACAAGGGCGAAUAAAUGGAAAGUCAAAGCAACAAAGUGAAGAAGUUGAAAGCUAAGAAACAAAGUGAAGGAAUUGAGAGUCAACAGAUUGAAAAAUAGCAAGUCAGGAGCCCGCCUGAAGAACAGGGUGAUGAAAUUGAAAGCCAAGCAACAAGUUGAGAAAAUGGCAAGUCAGGAGCCCGCCUAAAGAAUAGGGUGAUGAAACUCAAGUCAAGAGUCCAAAAGAAUCCGCAUAGAUAGGAUUUUUGUAAUUUCAUUUAUGUUUUAACUUGUAAUUAUUAUUUUUGAUGUAAUGACAGAGCCGCAGAUCGGAACCUCGACAGAACCUCGCUCGACUCUCCAACUCGGUAUAGUCCCUCUUCUUUCAGUCCUUGGGGAUACCUGUGACUUGAUUCCCUCAUAACUAGGAAUGCGUAUGACUUCCAAAGUCAAGACUUGGUUUCCCUCCUUACUACUAUUUCAUUCUUGUCGAAUAAUGAUCGGGAUAAAAUUUUCUCUCGUUGUCUACUUCUUUGUCUGAAAACACUGCAUGUUUACAUUCAAAGGGGGCAUGCUGUAGACACCUAAUUUUGUCCUUCCCAACGUUGAUUUUAUUCGUUUUUUUCUCACCUUACCACGUUUCCUCAUCCAUGUGAUCAUACCCCAUAAAAAUACAAAAUCAACAAACUCCCUAACAAAAUUUUAUCUUGUUUUAACUAUCCUAACCACUUCUUCAAUAAAAAGCAGACACUUCACCACCCCACACCCCUAUACCCGUAUGACCCCACCUCACCCCUAGGCAGCCCCCCUCCCUUCACGUUUUUGUUUCCUUUUGGACCAUAGACACCUCACAAUUUUGGGGGAGCCCCACAGAAAACCAAUUCACACAAUUCUUCACAUCACAGCAACUAUAUACUCACAGAAGACCCUCUCAAUUCAUCAGGAUCACCAAGGAUUCUUCACAGAGAAUCACGCACAAAAAGGCAUAGUAGACAUAGGCAUAAGCCUCCAUUUUUGUUCUUCUCUUCUACACCGUCAAAAAGGCACAGUAGACGCGCCAGUUCACCCCUUUGUUCGAGUUUUCCAUUGUUCGUUUGAUUUUUUGAUUGAGGUUUGCGAUUUUGAGAUUCCGCUUGAUUUUCAAAUCUGUUUCGGGGUCAAAAUUUGAUGACAAAUGGGGUUUUAUUCAAGGUCGGUUUUAGUCGAGGUUCCGAAUCUGCGAAGCUCCUCUAUUUGAUUGAAUAAAUACGACAUUAAGGUCCAUUCUUCAUCUUAUUCUCAAAUAAUUUUUAAUCAUGUAAUACUUGGUGUGCUAAAUUCAUGGUGUGUGGGCUUUAUUUUGUUUUUUUGUUGAUUUUGAUAUAUUUUAGAUCAUAGUAGUUUGGUUGUUGACGUCGAUCGAUUGAUUGUUGUGAAUUGGAAUAAUCAAAGAACUUGGACUCAAUUUGGAGUUAAAUCGUAAUUUGGGGAGAUAUCGAGAGUUAGCUAUUUCGCAAUUUCACUUAGUUUAUUUAAUUUUUUAUUUUAAUUAAUUUUGAUGUCGUUAAACUUGAUAGUAUCAUUACGUCGAUUGGUUUAGGCAAACAUAGGUUGGGUAGGCAAAUGCUUAGAAUUGGAGGCUUUGGUUGAAUGUUGAAAAUUUUGUUGAAUAGUUUGAUUUUCUCGCACUAAAAAUGUAUUCAUUUGGCCGGGGAAUGCCUCGAAGGAUCUGUAUUGAUUUAUCGGGGGAAUGCCCCGAAGUACCUUGUACUUGGAAGAUGUUCGUGGUGAAGGCUCGAGGCGUCGGAUGAAGCAGUGGAGCGUAGUAUAGGAUUAAUCUAGAGUAGAAUAGAUUUAUAUUUCUACAUUAUUUAUUCCUGGACUGGACAUUAUUUUGGUUUUGAAUUUUGUUUGAUUUGUUUGUUUGCUUGUUUUGCAUGUUUGUGUGGUUUAUACAUCUGUAAUGUUAAAUUAGCCGAUACACUUCACCAAGCGAUCGUGGUCGAACCACGGGAUCGAGGGGUGCCUAACACCUUUCUUUCGGUCAACAGAAUUCCUUAACCGGAAUCUCUGUUCGCGAAUCAGUUUUAGAGUCAAAUCGUUUUUGAAAAAGGAUUUCCAAAGGUGACAUGGCACACCCGAUUUAUGCCAAGUGGCGACUCUGAGUUUAAAUGUAAAAAGUUCUUUUUCGAAACAAAUUUUCAAUUUUCAAUUUUCAAUCAUUUUGUCACUUUUAUAAUAAAACUCUUUCGAACUUAAAAUCUAAUUCUUUUUUUGAGUUAAAAAAAGGGGUGUGAAAAUUAGGGGGUACAAGAGAUAGUUGGAUUGUAAGACUUUCUCUCACAUCCCACUCCCUUCCAUGAGAUAGUCAAUUUUAGCAUUUUUGAAGAAUCAUAUUGAGAAAAAGAAAGAAGCCUGGGGUAAAGUGAUGAGCCCGAGAUGUUAUAAAGCUUUGGGUUUGACUUUUUCGUCUGCUUUGUAUGAGUCGACGUAUGGAAUGCGCCAAGACUUGACUUUAUAUGCCAUGACACUAAGAGAAAGACACAGGAGAAUUCCUCUUUUAGGAAGACCUAGUAGCUCAGGAUCUCUGACGUUUCAUGUAUAUACACGUGCAUAAUGUAUAAGAGGUGUUUAUAUAUACUUUUACGUUGACAUCUUAUACAUAAUUAUACACAUUUAAAUAUCAAUUCAUAUAGGCAAAUAAAUGGACAUGUGUUUGAAUUUAGAGUUCAUAUUACUUAACCAUGGUUAAUUAAUAUGUAUUUUACUUAAUUUAAUUAAUUAACCAUAGUAAAAGACAUUAGUUUGGUGUAUACAUCGGGUGCGUGUAAAUUUUUACCAUUUAUUUGUGUCACCUUGCUUAUAUAGCACAUAACCCUUUUUAUAAAUCCAAAAAUCUUAUUUCUUCAUCAAUGUAAUUGUUGGAGUUUUCAAGCUAUUAAGAACUCCAACAGUGAAAUUUUACAAAUAAUGAUGACAAAAAUAGUUUUCUCAUAUACUAACAAAUAAAGUUUAGCUAUUUUGGUAUUACAGUGGGUAAAGUAUAGAUAAGUUGUAUAUAUUUAUUUAUUUAAAAAAAUAGUUAUUUGACAAAGCGUGGUGUUAAACAGUGCAACAUCCACAUUAUAUCUCUAUAUAAGAACAUGCUUGUGUGAAGAAAAUUAAACAUUGAGCAAUAAUAAGAUGAAGAAAAAGCAUAUAUAUAUAUUAGCGUUAUUAUUCAAAAUGACAACAUCUUACCCUAUGAAUGCUGGUGAUGGUCCUUAUAGCUACUUUAAAAACUCCCAUUUGCAGGUAUUAAUUAAUUAAUAUGUUAAUCAGUGCCACUUAAGUAUUUAGUAGAUAUCUUUUGAUUGACCUUACCUAGGUUAAACUCUGAUCUAUUUUAUAAUUGCAUGCAGAGAGAAGUGUUAGAUAAUUCAAAGGAAAUGGUGAGAGAUGCAAUUACUCGAAACCUUGACAUCAAAAAAAUCAUGUUAUCUUCUUCAAACACAUUAUGUAUUGUAGAGUUUUUAAAGUGGAUUUAAUUCCCCUGAAACUCUCCCCCGAAACUCUAUACCUAGUUUCGGCGGUUGGCGGUGUAAUACACGUGUCAAUCUCGUUUUUACACGUGUAUCCAACCUCAUAUUUACAUGUGUACAAGUGGGCAGAUAUAUGCCAUUAAAAUACGAAAAAAAAAAAGUCUAGGGGGUAAUAGGACCUCGCAAAGUUCAGUAUGCUCAACUGGAAAUUCAGUCAAAGUUGAGGUAUUAUCCCUAAAACAUAUGAGCAUACAUUUUAAAUUGAGGUUUCUUUCCUUUUUUAUGCAGGGAAUGCUUGAUGAAUCUUUAGUUGACUCGUUCAAUUUGCCAAUGUAUUUUCUUUCUCCUGAAGACAUGACUAAAGUGGUGGAGAAAAAUGGUUGUUUUAGUAUUGAGAUAAUGGAGUUGACAUAUCCCAAAUCAAAGCUUGUGGAUGAGGCUGAUGCAAAGACUUUAAUGAUAAAUCUAAGGGCUGUUUUAGAAGGAGUAAUAAUAAAUCAUUUUGCCUACCCAAACCAACAUUCGUCUAUCCAUUUCAACAUAUCAUAAUUUUAUCACAUUCCAACAAUAUUCAUGCUCAUUACGAAUUAAACAAAACAACAAUAAACCAAAGUUAAUCUAAAUUCAACUUUUUUUUAUCAAUUUCUCAAUUUCAUCCCCCAAAUCCAUUUUUAACCACAUUAUUAAACCAGUUCGACUAUCAAAUCACUUUUCAAAAUCCGAAACCAACAACACAUACCCCAACGAAGAUUCAAACAUUUAAGCAUACCAAUAAUUCAUAUCCACAACAAUUAACAUUUUUCUUGAAAUAUUCAAAACCGCACCACAAAAUCACGAUAUGAACCAACUUCGAUAUAAUUAAAAAGUAGAGUUGAGAGAUGGACCUUUGAAGAAUCGAUUUCGUUGAUAAUAAAAUCAAGAAAGACCGGACUAUAGAAUUCCUAAUAGGACCUCAACAAUGACGAACUCCAACUCCGUAUUGAAAAAUUUGAGACCCAAAAUUGAAGCUCCGUAAAUCCAAUCGAAUCUAAAAACCGACAGUGUUCACAUACUGUUCACAGCAUUGUUCACGGUACUGUUCACAACACUAUUCAUGACACUAUUCACGGUAUUGUUUCUCUCUCGAUUUUUUUUUCUCUCGCGCGAUUCUCUCUUUUUUUCCCUCAUUUUUUUGUUCUUCUUGUGAGGACGAUGAUUUGGUGAUUUUUGUUAUUGUAGAGAAGAUGAUGAUGAAAGAAUGAGUCUCCCUUUUCCCCUUUUAGAAUUUUCUUUUUAUAUUUUUUAUUUGAUUUUUCUUUUUCUUUAUUUAUUAUCCUAUGUGGAAGCAUAUAAUUGGUGCCUUGUGGGAAUAAGUGUGUGGCAUGUGGAAAAGUUAGUGUGGCAUGUGGAAAGAUGAGGGUGGCGAGUGAAAAAAUGAGUAGGGUGUGUGCCUUUUGCAUGUAUUCAAUGAAAAAUGGAAAGUGAGGUGUUGAGGUGGCAUAGUGAGGUGNNNNNNNNNNNNNNNNNNNGGAGAAAUUAUCAAUUAAACAAAAGUAUGGUAAGGUGAAUAAAAUAAAAAUAAAAAUAGAAUUAAAAAAAUAAAAUAAAAAUAAAAAUGAUUAAAAUAUGUUCGGGAAUGAACAAAAUUACGUGUCUACAUCAUGCCCCCUUUGGAUGUAAACACAUGGUGUUUUCAUACAAAGCAGUAGACAACGAGACAGAAUUUUAUCCUCACCUUUAUUCAAAAGCACGGAGCACGAGGAAGGAGGGAAACCAGGUCUUGACUUAGGACAUCCUACCUACCCAAGUUAUAAGGGAAUCGAGUGACAGUUAUCUCAAAGGAUUGGAAGGAGUUGGACUAUGCCGAGUUGGAGAGUCGAGUAAGGUCCCAUCGAGGUUCCGAUCCGUGGCUCUGUUAUUACAUCAAAAAUAAAAAUUACAAGUUAAAAACAUAAAUGAAAUUACAAAAUCCUAUCUUCGCAGCUUCUGUUGGACUCUUGACUUGAGUUUCAUCACCCUAUUUUUCAGGUGGGCUCUUGAUUUGAAAUUUCUUAAACUUGUUGUUUGGUUUUCAAUUUCAUCACUCGGUUCUCCAGGCGGGCUCCUGACUUGCUAUUUUCGAUCUGUUGACUUUCAUUUUCUUCACUUUGUUAUUUGACUUUUAACUUUUUCAUCUUGUUGCUUGACUUUCCAUUUAUUCACCCUGUGCUUAGGGAGGGCUCCUGAAAUCACAUCAAAACUAGAAAGAAAAUUAUCCCAAACAAAAUUAUUGUAAAGAGAAAAUCGUUUGCCAAAAAAGUAAAGUUCCAAAACAGAUAUUAAUUUUUUUUUCCAUCAGAAGACUUUUGAGAAAGUCAGAUCAUACCUACUUGCAUGUUGCAAUAAUGAAUCAAGACUCUGACCAAGAAAUGCAUCUCUUGAGAGUAAAAUUGAAUGAUCAAGACUAUGAAGUGCGUCUCCUAAGAAUUAAAGUGAGGAAUUCUGACUAGAAAGUGUGUCUUAUUGAGAUAGAAGUUUAAAUUAAAAAGUGUGUCACCUGACAAAUGAAAACUAACAAGGAAGUGCGUCUCAUAAGGAUUAAUUGCAAUGACUCGACCAGAAAGUGCAUUUUCUAGAAAUCAAGGAGAAUGACUCGACUAAAAGGUAUGCCUCAUAGGAAUCAAGGGGGAUGACUCGACUAAAAGGUACGUUUUAUAGGGGUCAAGGGGAAUGACUCGACUAAAAGGUACGUCUUGUAGGAAUCAAAGGGAGAUGACUCGACUAAAAGGUACGUCUUAUAGGAAUCAAGGGGGAUGACUCGACUAAAAGGUACGUCUUAUAGGAAUUGAAGGGAGAUAACUCGACUAAAAGGUACGUCUUGUAGGAAUUCAGGGAAAUGACUCGACUAAAAGGUACGCCUUGUAGGAAUCAAGGGGUAUGACUCGACUAAAAGGUACGUCUUAUAGGAAUCAAGGGGGAUGACUCGACUAAAAGGUACUUCUUAUAGGAAUCAAGAGGGAUGACUUGACUAAAAGGUACGUGUUAUAGGAAUCAAAAGGAGAUGACUCGACUAAAAGGUACAUCUUAUAGGAAUCCAGGAAAAUGACUCGACUAAAAGGUACGCCUUGUAGGAAUCAAGGGGGAUGACUUGACUAAAAGGUACGCCUUGUAGGAAUCAAGGGGGAUGACUCGACUAAAAGGUAUGUAUUCUAGGGGUCAAGGGGAUGACUCGACUAAAAGGUACUCCUUAUAGGAAUCUAGGGGGAUGACUCGGCUAAAAGGUACGUCUUAUAGGAAUCAAGGGGGAUGACUCGACUAAAAGGUACAAAGCAUGGAGUUGAACAGUGCAACAUCCCCCCACCCCACAUAUAUAUAUAUUCAUUAUAUUGUUAUAUAUUAAACGGACAGGAACAAGUAAUACCUCUUUUGAGCCGGUGGUCUAACAGAAACAACCUCUCUAUCUGUGAGAUUAUACUGGAUAUGUAAUUGAUGUUACAUACUAAAGUAGUUGAACUUUAAUUUAUUCCCUUUAACAACAAAAUCUAUCCAUCAAUGGUAUAAUUGCAUGCAGAUGGAAGUGUUAGAUGGUGCAAAGGGAAUGGUGAGACAUACAAUUACUGAAAAGUUUGACUUCAAAAUACAUUACAUAUUGCAGAUUUUGGAUGUUCAGUUGGACCAAACACUUUCAUUGCAAUGCAACAUGUUGUACAAGCUCUAAAAGACAAGUAUCAUAAUAACAUUCUUGAAUUCCAAAUAUUCUUCAAUGAUCAUGUUAUAAAUGAUUUCAACACCCUCUUUCGAUCACUACCCAUCGAUCGAUCCUAC
This 16670-nucleotide long non-coding RNA is filed under the name Capsicum annuum. Its description in RNAcentral is "long non-coding RNA (CANN_LNC022421)". The record is from RNAcentral. Lineage: Eukaryota; Viridiplantae; Streptophyta; Magnoliopsida; Solanales; Solanaceae.